GACGAACGUUGGCGGCGUGCUUAAUACAUGCAAGUCAACUGAAGCAGUGGUAGCAAUAUCGCUGUGGAGGUGGCGCACGGGUGAGUAACACGUAGGUAAUCUGCCUUCAGGUCUGGCAUAACUCCGGGAAACCGGGGCUAAUAGCAGAUGAUGCAGCGGCUCGACAUCGAGACAGUUGUUAAAGCUAUGGCGCCUGAAGAUGGGCCUGCGUCUGAUUAGCUAGUUGGCGGGGUAACGGCCCACCAAGGCAACGAUCAGUAGCUGGUCUGAGAGGAUGAUCAGCCACACUGGAACUGAGACACGGUCCAGACUCCUACGGGAGGCAGCAGUAAGGAAUAUUGCUCAAUGGGAGAAAUCCUGAAGCAGCAACGCCGCGUGAGGGACGAAGGGCUUUUGCUUGUAAACCUCUGUAGUGAGAGAAAAAAAUCCCAAUCUUUGGGACAUGAUGGUAUCUCAAAAGUAAGCCCCGGCUAACUACGUG
Molecule: ribosomal RNA, 481 nt
Filed under: uncultured bacterium
Lineage: Bacteria
Description: partial 16S ribosomal RNA
Rfam family: Bacterial small subunit ribosomal RNA
Source: RNAcentral